AGGGAUUUCUGCUUCUUGUUUUUGCCCCACUGAGGAUUUCAUUUCUCAUUUGCUUUUUCCAGAAUCGGACAUUGAUCGUUCCUCCGGAAUUAUUCCCUGCCGUACGCUUCAGUCUUGGCAUCCAAAUUCCUACCUUCUCUUAGUUGCCACAUUUACAUUUUGGAAGACCUCUUUGCCCCUCCCAUCACACACGAGUCACAUCAGCUCCAUCUUGGCCAAUGGUGAAUUUCAGGAUAGAAUGGAACUGCUUUUUACCAAAGACUGAGCAAACCGUGUAUCUAUAUUAAAAGCAAACGCACUGAAAUUCAUAAAAUAAAACUAAGGUGAUUUUGUUGCAAAGAAGAUUCACUAAAGCCUGCUCAGAUGGAGGGGUUUAUGACAAGGGAUGAUGAGUAGAGUCUUGUGAAAAUCCAAGAACUAGAGUUAUAACAGCAUAACAGAGCUGAACCUCUACCUUUAUCAGAUAAGAAUGGACAGCCAGGAAUCAGAAGACAAUUGAGGAAGGCAUUAAAAAUGAAAGAAAACUAAAAUAAAUAUAGAAAAGGAAUCUACGGAAAAGAGAAAAGAAUUGCUGGCAGUGGAAGAAAAUUCCUCACUCCACAGAAGAAGAAACCAUAUACUUAAUGUCCUCAGAGAGAAACCUCUAGCAGCUGAAAUGGUACCAUCUGACUCCAACUUUCUUCUGGAAUUUUUGCAGUCCCUCCAUGAACUUAAUCGUCUUUUCAGUUUCUGAAAGCAGAAACAAUAUUUGAAAAGUCUCACUUUUUAAUCAGUAGAGUUAACGUGAGAGUUUGACCUCUAAACCAAACCUUUAAACACCCAACUUGGCAAUUUAUUACUUCUGCAGUUAUUGCUAUUAGACCAGCCCUAGGAACAAGCAACUCAUCUAAAACGUAUUGUUCGCCUGCUAUUGCUAUUAAGACAGGUGCAAACCUACAUGACACAAAGCAACCGGUCAUUUGGGCAGACAGCAAAACAGGGCGACCUGGAGCUACCAUUGACACACCACAGCGUGACCUCCUCGGGCCUUAUCAAACUAGCCGUAAGAAAUGGUCUUUAAGUGAAACAUGGAUCUUUGCUUGGAGACAGGAAUGGAUAUGUACGUUAAUUCUACCUCUGAUCUCUCAGCGGUAACUAUACUCAUCAUUCACUUUGAAGACUCAAGUGUAGCCCAAACAUUUCAGCAGAAGAUCAACGGAAGAAAAACUUAAUAAAAAAUUCUGUUGUUGCAUUUGUGUAUGUAUGAGUAUAUUUGAUUUCUGGUUAAACAGACAAAACUGUUUCCUUUUUAUAAAUACACUUAAACAAGUCGUGAUACUGAUAUGACUAUUCUAGUUCUAAGCGAGACUUCAAAGUCUAACUUAAACAUUGUAAGAGUUUCCAUGCUCUAGAGUCCACAUUAGACUCAAAUGGGGU
Long non-coding RNA from Diceros bicornis minor, 1416 nucleotides. RefSeq lists it as uncharacterized. The record is from RefSeq and is a predicted model, not a curated record. The transcript has 4 exons. Lineage: Eukaryota; Metazoa; Chordata; Mammalia; Perissodactyla; Rhinocerotidae.